Long non-coding RNA from Phascolarctos cinereus (koala), 1409 nucleotides. RefSeq lists it as uncharacterized. Lineage: Eukaryota; Metazoa; Chordata; Mammalia; Diprotodontia; Phascolarctidae. The record is from RefSeq and is a predicted model, not a curated record.
AAAGAUUUGUCGAUGUUGUUUUAUAACGUCAUGGGGAAGAGGAAGAGGCGUGUCUCAAAAUGGCGGCGUCCAAAGGACGACAUCGAGACCGUUUUUCAAGAUGGCCGCUUCCGUGCCUAAACUGGUUCUUCCGUACAUCUCCCCACCUCCCCCAACUAGAGGGGAGCUAGCGUGUUUAAAACCUAAAGCAAUAGAGGGGGAAAUUGUGAUUAUUAUAGCUAACAAAAAUAACUCUUUUGUAUAAUUUCUUAAUGUCUACAAAACAAUUUCUUCCCAGCAAACCUCUGAAGAAGGAAAGGAUGAUAGAAAAUAAGUAGUGCCGUAAACAUCUAUUUCAUUUCUACUUUUGCUACCAAGGAGGAUGAUCUUUAGAAUGCGAAAGAUGGAAGAAAGCUGGCUUUGAGGACAUCGGAACCUAAGGUAUAUGAGGAGACGAUGAGAACACACCUAACUGCCCACGGUGAAUUCAGGCGGCUAAGCCUGGAUGUAUUCCAUCCCAAGAUCGCCAGGGCAUCAUGCCCCUAACUCCCUCAAUGUGGAAGGGAGAACUGUCGUUCAGCUCCUCACUGUGCUCUUCCCUCGAGAUCAUGCCCUGCCAAACCUUAGACUUGGAUGAAUCCUAGCAUCUGAUGCCUUCAUCCCUACAUGUGCUGCUGAACAGAGUUGACGAGAAUCACAAAACCAUGCUGACUGGGUCCAGUACAAAUUUACAUUACAUAAUUUCAAUUGGAUGCUCAUUGCAGCAAGUAGAACAUAACCUCCCUGAGGGAAGAGGCUGUAUAAUUUUUUAUUCUUGUGUGGAGGCCUGGUACAUGUGCACACUACCUUCUAUAGGAUCUCUCUGCCCUGUUCCCAGGAGCAAUCCCAGGAGAAUCACUGUGUCACAUGAGGGACAAGUGCCUUGGAGAGACUAGAGCAUCUGUAGCUGACUGAGAUCAAAUAACUGUAUGUGAAGGAGCAGGCUGUUUGGCUUCAGCUUGUCAAAAGACCUGUCAUUGAAGGGUGUGAACAAGCAGUUCUCAAGAGAAGACGUGCAAAGAAUUCACAACCACAUAAAAGAUGCUCCAAAUCACUAAUCGUAAGAGAAACAUAAACCAGAACAAUUCUGACGCUUUGCCUCACGCUCUGCAAAUUGGUAAGAAUGACCCAAAAUGGCAACGGUCAAUGUUGGAGGAGUUGUGGGGAGAGAGGCACCUUCAUCCAUUGUUGGCAGAGCUAUGAAACCUUUUGGAAAGCAAUUUGGAAUUAUGGAAAUCAAGUGACUAAAAUGUCUAUACCCUUUGAACCAGAGACUCCAUUACAAGGAAACCACUGAUAAGAAAAAAGUUCCUAUGUGCUCCAAAAUAUUUAUAGCAGGCCUUUUUGUGGUAGCUAAGCAUCGGAAACAAAGUAGAUGCCCAUCAACUGGG